AGAAUCAACGCUGGCGGCGUGCCUAACACAUGCAAGUCGAACGAGAAAGUGGAGCAAUCCAUGAGUAAAGUGGCGACCGGGUGAGUAACACGUGACUAACCUACCUUCGAGUGGGGGAUAACCUCGGGAAACCGAGGCUAAUACCGCAUAACAUCGCAAGAUCAAAGCAGCAAUGCGCUGGAAGAGGGGGUCGCGGCUGAUUAGCUAGUUGGUGGGUAAUGGCCUACCAAGGCAACGAUCAGUA
RNAcentral lists this ribosomal RNA (244 nucleotides) under uncultured bacterium. RNAcentral's name for it is "partial small subunit ribosomal RNA". It matches the Rfam family "Bacterial small subunit ribosomal RNA", at positions 26 to 285 of the family's 1533-position model. The record is from RNAcentral.